AUGCUGUCCGGAGAACUCAAUUAAAACGAUCCCACUUGUUCUGAUCCAGAGGAGGCAGCUGCCGCAGGGGGCAGCCUGCACUCAGGCCAGGAACUCCAGGGACUUCUGACCAGGCAGAGCUCGGCCUGUACACACCACCUGGCUAGGCAGGGGCCAGGCAGCACUGGAAGCCCAAGACCAGGCUCCACCAGCCCCAGACACCCUACUAGCGAUGCCCUCCUGGGCGUCCCUGCCUGCACCUGCACAGGAAACCUCUUGAUGACAAACCUAGACCUGUGUCUGAGGCAGUCACAGCCUGAAGAAGAGACCCAGCCACGGGACUGUGGCCCCUCUGGACCACACAGGCCACCAGGAAGGAGUGGGGGUGGCAGCAGCUUUCCUCUUGUCUUCAGAAGAAAACAGAAUGAAGAUAUAUGGCAACUAGACAGACGGCAAUCCCAAACAACAGUGGCGUCCGUUCUGGACUUACCUGCACUUGGAGGCUCGGAAGAGGACACGAAGCCAUGGCAACACAACGACAGUUCGGACGUGUCAACGGCCAGUGUUGCAGCCGGCACCUCUGGGCAGGGCUUGAUGGCUGCUCGCACAGGGAAGCCCCUGCACACACAGGUACCCCCCCCCCCCACCCCGCCACAGGCGUGGGCAUCUCCUCGAAGGGCAGGCACUGGCCCCUUCCAGCCUGGGGCUCUAUGCCCCGGCACCUCCCCACAUCACCUCUGCCCAGGGAAAUCUAGUUUCCCACCUGCAUCCAGACUCAGGCCAGUUGAGCUGGACUAG
RNAcentral lists this long non-coding RNA (777 nucleotides) under Capra hircus (goat). RNAcentral's name for it is "lncRNA (ENSCHIG00000007084.1)". Lineage: Eukaryota; Metazoa; Chordata; Mammalia; Artiodactyla; Bovidae. The record is from RNAcentral.